UGAGGAACAUGACCUUCGGCGGGGAUAGCCGGCCCAACGGCCGGGUAAUACCGCGUACGACCACAUGGGGACAUCCCUGAGUGGUGAAAGCAGCAAUGCGCCGAUGGAGUGCCUCGCGGCCUAUCAGCUAGUUGGUGAGGUAACGGCUCACCAAGGCGACGACGGGUAGCUGGUCUGAGAGGAUGGCCAGCCACAUUGGGACUGAGACACCGGCCCAGACCUNUACCGGGGAGG
RNAcentral lists this ribosomal RNA (234 nucleotides) under uncultured bacterium. RNAcentral's name for it is "partial 16S ribosomal RNA". It matches the Rfam family "Bacterial small subunit ribosomal RNA", at positions 118 to 347 of the family's 1533-position model. The record is from RNAcentral.